Molecule: long non-coding RNA, 1633 nt
Filed under: Ananas comosus (pineapple)
Lineage: Eukaryota; Viridiplantae; Streptophyta; Magnoliopsida; Poales; Bromeliaceae
Description: long non-coding RNA (ACOM_LNC008039)
Source: RNAcentral
UUGUUGGGUUAGUGAUAUCAAAUUCACUUAUUAGCCUAAUUGGUUUUAUUUUGGGUUUGGUUCAACAACUCAUGUAAUGGGCUAGUUAGUAUUUGGUUUGGGUUUUAGUUGACCCAUUUGGUAUGUUGGGCCAAGUGGAGUUAAGAGAGAACUCUUUGGGUUAGAGAGUGUGAGUUCUCAUUUUUGCUCUCUAGGUUUUCCCUUCUCUUGUAAUAGAGGAGAGAGGUGUAGAGAGGGUUGGAGAAGGAGCUCUCUUGUUCUUCUUGCUUGAUUCAAAGACUUCCAAGGUAGAUUGGAGGAAUUUUAAGAGGUAUUCUGAAGCGGGAUUCGCGGAAUCGGAAGGUGCUUCAAAGAAUGUGUAGCAAAAAGGGAUUUUCAUUGGAAGGUUGUAAGCCCAUUGUGAUAGAGUGGUAAUCUCUAACCAAAUCUUGUAAUCUCCUCAUUUGAUAGUGGAUUUGAUCUCUCCGUGCCUGUGGAUGUAACCCGGUUUGGGUGAACCACGUAAAUCUUGUGUUGUUGUUGUGCUUGUGCUUGGAUUUUUCUCUUUCAACUUCAUUUACUCCAAUCUUGCAUAUCUUGGUUGUGGAUAAUUUAGAUACAUCACAUUUGCUUACUAGUGUGAUUAGUAUCUUGAUAGUGAGGGUUCCGUCAUUAGCUCACUACACACUACAACAAAAACGGUCUAUAGCGACACUUUUAAAUGUAGGUACAUGUCAAAAAAGUGCUGCUAGCUAAAAUUACCGACACUUUUAAAAAGUGUUGCUAUAUGUGGGGUCGCUAGGUAUAUAGUGACAGUUAAAGAGUAUCGCUAUAACCUAAAAGAGUGUUGCUAAUUAACUAACACUUAUUUAAGCAUUUAGCAACUGCCGAAACUCUAUCUCGUUGGCUGCGGUGGCGGAAGAGGACGACAUGAAAGGCUCUUCAUCUAGAAUUUCAGUGGAUUGAGUGAAGAGAGAAAAAAAGAUGGUAAUUAAUUUUUCUUUUUUUUUUUUCUUUUCUGUUUGUAAUUGGGCCAAAUAGACUGAGUGUGGUGGGUUUAGUAGAGUAAUCUUUUAUUUUUGAUUGGAUUGGGCUUUAUAUAUAGGCAUUAGUAGAUGUUUUUUUAAGUUUUAGGAUAAAUGGGACACUUAUUCAAAAGUAUUCCAAACAUGUGUCCCUAUAACCUCAUUCUUUUGUAGUGACAAUAGUUCUUUCUAAAUAUUUGAUCACGUUCUUUAUUAAUCAAAUAUACAAAUAUUUUGAGUAAGGCUUUUUUUGGACGUUGAAAUAAGCUAUUUAAAAAUAAUUAAUUGAUAUUCUAGUGUGAUUGUAAGAAAAGAAUUUGAUUUUUUACUCUUUGAAAGAUCCUAAAUCCAUGAUCCAGUGUGAUAUUGUAUUCUACUUAUGAGGUGAUUUAUCUAAUUUGAAAAAAUAAUUUGAAAGCCAAGUAUAAUAUCUAAUAUCCAAUUCUAGAUAGUUGAUUCACUUCUUAUUAAUUUACAAAAUAUAUAAAUUUUUCAAGUAGAUUAAAUAAUAUACCAAACAAAUUAAUUACGCAUUCAAACAUGGCUUAAAUCAAAAUAAUAUACCAAAUUAAAUAUUCAUGCAUACAAACAUAACCUAAACAUAAUGAUGGAACGCGGUAUGUAAAAGU